GCUUUUUGGCUUCUCUUCAUAACGCACAAGUCUUUCGCUUUUUACUAAAGACUUCCAUGGAGAGCGAUGCUAAGCGAGUUGUGCGUAUUUUUGGGGGGCUCUACCGCCUGGCCGGGCCA
Small nuclear RNA from Amphilophus citrinellus (Midas cichlid), 119 nucleotides. Its record names the gene U5. It matches the Rfam family "U5 spliceosomal RNA". From Rfam's summary of the family: U5 RNA is a component of both types of known spliceosome. The precise function of this molecule is unknown, though it is known that the 5' loop is required for splice site selection and p220 binding, and that both the 3' stem-loop and the Sm site are important for Sm protein binding and cap methylation. Lineage: Eukaryota; Metazoa; Chordata; Actinopteri; Cichliformes; Cichlidae. The record is from Ensembl.